UUAGCGGCGAGCGAAGUGGGUAAAGCUCAAGUUUAAAACCUGUUUGUCCUAGACAAACCGGAUUGUAAACUAAGGACGUGCUAUCCAGGCUCUUUGGACCUUCAAGUCCUUUGGAAUAAGGCUUCACAGAGGGUGACAUCCCGUAGAGGGUCUUGAAAGAGUCUAUUGCGAUGCAUGCUCCAAGAGUCAGUUGUUUGGGAAUG
RNAcentral lists this ribosomal RNA (203 nucleotides) under uncultured fungus. RNAcentral's name for it is "partial 26S ribosomal RNA". It matches the Rfam family "Eukaryotic large subunit ribosomal RNA", at positions 83 to 282 of the family's 3401-position model. Lineage: Eukaryota; Fungi. The record is from RNAcentral.